This is a long non-coding RNA of Hippocampus zosterae (dwarf seahorse), 1089 nucleotides long. RefSeq lists it as uncharacterized. The transcript is spliced from 3 exons. NCBI's taxonomy places the organism in Eukaryota, Metazoa, Chordata, Actinopteri, Syngnathiformes, Syngnathidae. The record is from RefSeq and is a predicted model, not a curated record.
CAGGUGGUGUUGGAGUGGGUCUUUAAAUCAUUCCUGCAGUUGGAAGGGGGCGAAUAUACAGCAGAUCGACACUUAAGACAUGAAAGAGCAGCCCGAUUUGGAGAAAGGAGGCAUUUGGACGUCUAUUUGAGGAAUGCUCUUAUCAUGGAUCACACCACAAUGACCAAGAUGACUUCUCUGCUGAGCAUGCUUCUUCUUUUAUGUUAGAACAUGCCGACACCAGUCCAACGGUUCAGAGUCCAGACACCGAUUGCUUUCCCAGCGACGUUGACUUAGCGGGCCAGCGGACAAAGCCUCCACCGUCUUUCCAGCUGUUGCUGCUGCUGUUUGGAGUCUCGUGAAGAGGAGGCAGCUGUACAAGCACAGCCUCCUUAUCUUCUGCCAUGGACCUUGCAGGGGGUACGAGAUGAAUUCACAAAGGACAAUAGCCAUGGAUGGCCUGUAAUACCGUAGGCAGAGAUAUAAUCAAACAUUAAAUGUUAUAGGAGAUAUAAUGCCGUCUGGAAAAGGAAAUUUGAUGACCACAAGUUUUACGACAAACGCUGUCUCGUCUGGUUGGAAGACUUGAUGUUGUACAGCAACGAUUCCCAAACACCCAUGGGGGUGUGAGAAAAGCGUUUAGUACUUGUUAUGAGGGUGGGCGUGGGGGUGAGGUGGUGCACUCUCUCUGUCGAGAUGUUGAGGAGGUUCAAAAAGUCUCUCGUAAAAGGCCCACAUUAAAAAGCAGUUGUGUCGUACGCCAAAGUGAGAGAGAGUUUGAACCUUAUUAUUGCAUAUAAAUAUAUGACAGCGAGGCCCCCCACCGAAAAGGGGAUGCGUCAACUCCGUCAGUUGCGUGGCUUAGAAAGUUUGAAAUAUAAGGCUGUUAUAAAAGCUUUUCUGCACUUUUUUUAAGAAAGAGAAAGGGUGCAACAACUAUUGAAAAAAUGCAAUUUUAUCCUUUUUUGAGGGGAUACGAGGGGGAGUGGGAGCAACAACUGUUAGAUUAUAGAAAGGGGUGCGUGCCUAAUGAAUUUGUGAAAGGCUGUCAUAUAUUACAUGUGUCAGAAUUAUCUCACAAUCCUUGGUCAAUAAAUUCCAUAUGAAUCA